This 26-nucleotide non-coding RNA is filed under the name Rattus norvegicus (Norway rat). The record is from RNAcentral. Lineage: Eukaryota; Metazoa; Chordata; Mammalia; Rodentia; Muridae.
UGUGUGUCUCCUGCCUUGAUCCUGUA